AUAGUACUAAUUUAGCCAGCUGAUAUCCAAUGAGUUAAUUGCAGCUAAUAUGGAAAAAUAGGAAGAAAAAAGGAAUUUUUUAAUCCCCUAAUGAGGAAUAGUAUUUAGGAAGCCAUUAAAAACCCUGGGGAUUACUUUGCCCUUUCCAUUCUUAGUUUAUUAACAGAAAAGGAUGACUAGCAAUAACAACUGAAAUUGCAUACCAUUCAUGAUUAUGCCUUAAAUUCUCUGGGGAAAAAUGUACUACGUGGAUCUAUCAAUCUUUACAAUAUCAUCCAGGUAGAUUACUGAAUUUCACAGAAAGGGAAACUGAGGCUCAGAUAGCUUAAGUAACUUGCCCACAUUUACACAGGCAGUAAGAUAGCAUGUCUGGGAACUGAAUUAUUGUCUAUAUAAUGGCAAAGUUUACUACGCAUUCCAUCAAUCAUUAUGCUAUACUAUCUGAAGAACUAAAGGUUAGCCAAGGUUAUCAAUACAAUACCCAAUUUGCACUAGAGGAUGAAUUUCUAGAAGCAGAUGUGCUGACUGGCUCACUGAAUCCUCCAUUUAGGGGAUAUAUAUGUAUGCCGCUUAGCAACAAAUGCAAAAAUGCAAUGUACACCACAGUACAGUUCCCACAUACAUGAGUAUAUUUGAAGAUAUAUUAGCUAUCAUCUGUCUUCUUUCUCUACAGUCUCCCCAGACAAUACAUCGUGUAAUUUUUUUUUUUUUCUUAACUGGAAGUUCUAUUCUACCUUGCUAUGGUAGACUGGGACUUUCAUUUGUCCUGUAUUAUUGCUUACCUUUGGCUUGAGACAUACUAAACCCCAGUAAAAUGGGUAUAUUAACUCUUAGCACACACCCUUGGUUUCUCUGUAGCUGAUUCAGCAUUGUCACCUGCCAAACAUGAUGACUUAAAAUUGUUCACCAGAAUAGAAGAAAAAUGGCAGAAAGUGGAUCUGAAGCAGAAGAAAAAUACUGCUGAACAAUUUAACCUUUAAUCAGUGUUGCUGAAUAACUUCGAAUCAAGAAAGUGAGUAUUUACUAAACAAGCGUAUAUAUAUUAGAGAUUGAUAAAAUACAUAUCACUGUAUUUUCUUACACGAACAUUAAGAUUUAUGUUAAUAUA
This 1108-nucleotide long non-coding RNA is filed under the name Capra hircus (goat). RNAcentral's name for it is "lncRNA (ENSCHIG00010011539.1)". Lineage: Eukaryota; Metazoa; Chordata; Mammalia; Artiodactyla; Bovidae. The record is from RNAcentral.